GGUUGAUCCUGCCGGACCUGACUGCUAUCGGAUUGGUACUAAGCCAUGCGAGUCGUUGUAGCAAUACAAGGCGGACUGCUCAGUAACACGUAGUUAACUUAACCUAUGGAUGGGCAUAACCUCGGGAAACUGAGAAUAAUACCCAAUGGACCACAGUGCCUGGAAUGGCCUGUGGUUGAAAUGAUUUAUCGCCGUAGGAUAGGACUGCGGCCUAUCAGCUUGUUGGUGAGGUAAUGGCCCACCAAGGCUAUAACAGGUACGGGCUCUGAGAGGAGGGGCCCGGAGAUGGGUACUGAGACACGGACCCAGGCCCUAUGGGGCGCAGCAGGCGAGAAACCUUUGCAAUGUGCGAAAGCACGACAAGGUUAAUCCGAGUGUCUCCUGCUAAAGGAGUCUUUUGUCAGUUGUAGAAUCACUGGUGAAUAAGGGGUGGGCAAGUUCUGGUGUCAGCCGCCGCGGUAAAACCAGCACCUCGAGUGGUCAGGAGGUUUAUUGGGCCUAAAGCAUCCGUAGCCGGUUGCAUAAGUUUUCGGUUAAAUCUAUGCGCUUAUCGUAUAGGCCGCCG
This 565-nucleotide ribosomal RNA is filed under the name uncultured archaeon. RNAcentral's name for it is "bacterial SSU rRNA". It matches the Rfam family "Archaeal small subunit ribosomal RNA", at positions 6 to 577 of the family's 1478-position model. The record is from RNAcentral.